GGGAAAAUGCGACCUCUGUUGCUAGGAUGUGGAGUUGUUUGUUUCAAAAAGCACAUCAUUCACUGUAAUCCUUAAUCACUGUUGAGUGUGAAACUGCCAGAAGGACAGCUGUUUCUAUGAUGCUGAAACCACCAAGUCUGAUACCUUCAGAUAGUGAGCGGCAUCAAGACCCAUGCUGUCCACAGCCUCAGAAUCAGCUCCAUGCCUAAGCAGCAC
This is a long non-coding RNA of Polypterus senegalus (gray bichir), 216 nucleotides long. RefSeq lists it as uncharacterized. The transcript is spliced from 3 exons. The record is from RefSeq and is a predicted model, not a curated record. Lineage: Eukaryota; Metazoa; Chordata; Cladistia; Polypteriformes; Polypteridae.